ACCGGCGCACGGGUGCGUAACGCGUAUGCAACCUACCUUUUACAGAGGGAUAGCCCAGAGAAAUUUGGAUUAAUACCUCAUAGUAUAUAGUCUUCGCAUGUUGACUAUAUUAAAGUUCCAACGGUAAAAGAUGGGCAUGCGUCCUAUUAGCUAGAUGGUAAGGUAACGGCUUACCAUGGCAACGAUAGGUAGGGGUCCUGAGAGGGAGAUCCCCCACACUGGUACUGAGACACGGACCAGACUCCUACGGGAGGCAGCAGUGAGGAAUAUUGGACAAUGGGCGCAAGCCUGAUCCAGCCAUGCCGCGUGCAGGAAGAAGCAUCUAUGGUGUGUAAACUGCUUUUGUACGGGAAGAAACACUCCGACGUGUCGGAGCUUGACGGUACCGUAAGAAUAAGGAUCGGCUAACUCCGUGCCAGCAGCCGCGGUAAUACGGAGGAUCCAAGCGUUAUCCGGAAUCAUUGGGUUUAAAGGGUCCGUAGGCGGUUUAUUAAGUCAGUGGUGAAAGCCCGCAGCUCAACUGUGGAACGGCCAUUGAUACUGAUAGACUUGAAUUACUGGGAAGUAACUAGAAUAUGUAGUGUAGCGGUGAAAUGCUUAGAUAUUACAUGGAAUACCAAUUGCGAAGGCAGGUUACUACCAGUGGAUUGACGCUGAUGGACGAAAGCGUGGGGAGCGAACAGGAUUAGAUACCCUGGUA
This 700-nucleotide ribosomal RNA is filed under the name uncultured bacterium. Its description in RNAcentral is "bacterial SSU rRNA". It matches the Rfam family "Bacterial small subunit ribosomal RNA", at positions 94 to 792 of the family's 1533-position model. The record is from RNAcentral.